RNAcentral lists this long non-coding RNA (259 nucleotides) under Apteryx owenii (little spotted kiwi). RNAcentral's name for it is "lncRNA (ENSAOWG00000016232.1)". Lineage: Eukaryota; Metazoa; Chordata; Aves; Apterygiformes; Apterygidae. The record is from RNAcentral.
CCGACCAGCUCUUUGACGACCUGAAAGUACCAUGUUGCUGUUAUGUUUCCUGGAAUGGGAUCAAAGUGUUGUGCUCCUUGGCUUGGGAGACAGAAUGACCACAGGUGCUGCAAGACAGCAGGAAAUCACCUCUGUGAAGCUGUCCAGGAAGCCUCGAAUUCAGCCUCAACUAGAGAUUGGAGAAGUGUUUUGUCUGAGAAUCCUAGAUGCUCUACACUUGAUGCAUUGUCUUCCUGCAGACAGGGCAAACUCUGCUCCU